UUCUGGGUCCUUCCUUCAGAUGACAACUCUCCCGCACCAAAAAAUCCCGGUUAGGGCCCGACGAUCCCCGUCAGAACCUUAGCACCUGAUCCCGGGGAGUCACGGAGGCUGGAGGAGGCGGCGGGGAAGAGGGGGGCGAUUUGUCAAGAGCAGCGGCCAAGGGCAUCCCUUCACCUGGGCUACGAGGAAGAUAGAGGGGAAUACCUGCUGCCACCCGGAAAUCAGACCCGUCCCGAGUCUCAUUCAGGGCCCAUGUCCGCCAGCCGGAGGCAGAGGAAGUUGCUGUGCCUGGUGAAGGACUGCAGCGAGCAGAGUCACAGAUACAGCCGACCAUCACGGAAGUGUUUCAGAGGCAGAGAAAAUGCGAGAGCAACUCAAAGGAAGCUAAGAAAUUGGACGGGGCAGUGACUGAAUCCUUCUGUAUAGAUCCAGUCUCCAUCAACGCGGUAAAAACGAAGUGGAUUCCAGCAGAUGUUUUAGCAGUUCAAUCCCAGGUAUUGGCUACCAAGUCGAAAUAAUUUCAUGUAUAUAGAUUCCUAAAAUGUACAAGAGCUCAUAACCUACCACUUCACUGAGAUGCCUUAUUAUUCCUGCAUAAUUCCUGAUUUGUGAGCUCACCUUUACAUCUGUUACUCUAUGGUAUGUUUCCACAUCAUGGGAGCUGUACUCGGUUGGCGUCUGAACAUAGAACACUGGCCUUUGAAGAGAAGAUUGAAGAGGAAUGGAGGUCAGACAUUUCAAGAACGGCAGUGCCUUCAACAGCAAGAAAGCCUUUAAAGAAAACUAAAGCUGGAUCCCAUGUUUUGUGCACAAUCUCCAGCUUACGGUGAACAAAGCUAUCAGCAUUGACAGAGCUUUGUAAAACCAUGUCUACCUUCACAGGAUCAGUGUAGCUUUCAUGUCAGCUGGCCAAAAAGCAGAAGGAACUCUCUACCAAAUAAAUGGUGAAUGCACUUGUUGGAAUUCUCCAUGUGAUAUGAUGGAGCAGCAGUUAUGUGUGUGUGUUGUGCUGUCAGAGGACGGGGAGAAAUGUCACCUAAUGCUGAAGCUUCUGAUAUUACGGUUUGGGGUGUCUGAAGGGGGGUUUACGACUGCUGGGUCAUUUUAGUGAUGCACUAAGUGGUGAGAAAACCACGAGUAUCUUCUCAAUCUUGCCACUGGUGAAGCAGGUGACUCUGCUCUUGGGCAAGAGAUGAAAAACGUGACUGCAGAGUACCUGGAUCAUUGAAAUGAUGAACGGCAGCUACAGAUGCAUCUUGAACACUGCAGCCUACCUCGAUCCGAGGUUAAAAGACAGCUUUGUCUCACGUAAAAGUAAGUCUCCUGGAACGAGUGAAGGUUGUUCCCAGUGACAGAAGUGAAAAGCCCCGUGCCAGAGGAAACCGAAGGCUCGAGUCAGGGUCUAAGACAGACUUCCGAGACAGAUUUCAAACACCUGCUUUGCACGAUACAAGGAGCAAAAGACAAGUACAACAGAUGCUGUCACAUCAGCUCCCGCAGAGCUCUCUCCAAGGGACGAGCUAAAGGGUGAGAUUCAGCUAUACAACAGAAUGUCUGAAAUCAGUACUGUGGAGGAUCCACGUUUUUGUUUUUUUGCCAGAAAGUGUCUGUGUAUUGUAGCAUCCAGCUGGCCGUCUGAGAGCAUAUUCAGCAUUGUGUGCUUUAUUGUGACCCCACAACGGACUGACCGAAGAAAACAUUGAUAUGUUGGUUUUUCUUUCUGUUAACCCCGAACUGGCAAAGAAAAUGUUGACAAUGCAGUGAGGGUUAUUGCAUUCAAGAGUCAGGACACUGAUUACCAAAUAGACUCUACAUGGGAUGCCAGUAACUCAUUAGGGACCCAUGCUAUGAUACAUUAGGGACAAAAGCAUGUCUUUGGACUGCAGGAGGAAGCUCGCGAUGGGGAGGACAUGGGGAGGACAUGG
Brienomyrus brachyistius is the source of this 1925-nucleotide long non-coding RNA. RefSeq lists it as uncharacterized. NCBI's taxonomy places the organism in Eukaryota, Metazoa, Chordata, Actinopteri, Osteoglossiformes, Mormyridae. The transcript has 3 exons. The record is from RefSeq and is a predicted model, not a curated record.